This 252-nucleotide ribosomal RNA is filed under the name uncultured bacterium. RNAcentral's name for it is "partial 16S ribosomal RNA". It matches the Rfam family "Bacterial small subunit ribosomal RNA", at positions 524 to 776 of the family's 1533-position model. The record is from RNAcentral.
UACGUAGGGGGCAAGCGUUGUCCGGAUUCAUUGGCGGAAAGAGCGUGUAGGCGGCCAGGUAGGUCGGUUGUGAAAACUGGAGGCUCAACCUUCAGAGGUCGACCGAAACCAUCUGGCUAGAGUCCGGGAGAGGAGAGUGGAAUUCCUGGUGUAGCGGUGAAAUGCGCAGAUAUCAGGAAGAACACCCGUGGCGAAAGCGGCUCUCUGGAACGGUACUGACGCUGAGACGCGAAAGCGUGGGGAGCGAACAGG